GCGCCCUUAGCUCAGCUGGAUAGAGCGUCUGACUACGAAUCAGAAGGACGGAGGUUCGAAUCCUCCAGGGCGCG
This 74-nucleotide transfer RNA is filed under the name Candidatus Hydrogenedentota bacterium. Its description in RNAcentral is "Candidatus Hydrogenedentes bacterium tRNA-Arg". It matches the Rfam family "tRNA". Rfam says of the family: Transfer RNA (tRNA) molecules are approximately 80 nucleotides in length. The record is from RNAcentral. Lineage: Bacteria; Pseudomonadati; Candidatus Hydrogenedentota.